GAUGAACGCUGGCGGCGUGCUUAACACAUGCCAGUCGAACGGAAAGGCUCCUGCUUGCAGGGGUACUCGAGUGGCGAACGGGUGAGUAACACGUGGGUGAUCUGCCCUGCACUUCGGGAUAAGCCUGGGAAACUGGGUCUAAUACCGGAUAGGACGAUGGUUUGGAUGCCAUUGUGGAAAGUUUUUCGGUGUGGGAUGAGCUCGCGGCCUAUCAGCUUGUUGGUGGGGUAAUGGCCUACCAAGGCGUCGACGGGUAGCCGGCAUGAGAGGUGGUACGGCGACAUUGGGACUGAGAUACGGCCCAGACUCCUACGGGAGGCAGCAGUGGGGAGUAUUGCACAAUGGGGGCAAGCCUGAUGCAGAGACGCCGGGUGGGGGAAGACGGCCUUCGGGUUGUAAACGGCUUUCACUAGAGACGAAGCGCAAGUGACGGUACCUGGAGAAGAAGCACCGGCUAACUACGUG
This 465-nucleotide ribosomal RNA is filed under the name uncultured bacterium. RNAcentral describes it as "partial 16S ribosomal RNA". It matches the Rfam family "Bacterial small subunit ribosomal RNA", at positions 28 to 507 of the family's 1533-position model. The record is from RNAcentral.